RNAcentral lists this ribosomal RNA (660 nucleotides) under Triticum aestivum (bread wheat). RNAcentral's name for it is "partial small subunit ribosomal RNA". Lineage: Eukaryota; Viridiplantae; Streptophyta; Magnoliopsida; Poales; Poaceae. The record is from RNAcentral.
AUGAACAUAUUUCAGGUCUAUUUCCACACUAAGGUGUUCUACCUAAACAUUAACAGCAACGGCAACAUUUGCCUUGACAUUCUCAAGGAACAGUGGAGCCUGGCUUUGACCAUAUCAAAGGUCCUCCUAUCAAUCUGUUCGUUGCUGACGGACCCCAACCCCGAUGAUCCUCUGGUGCCUGAGAUCUCUCACAUGUACAAGACUGAUCGGGCCAAGUAUGAGUCCACGGCAUGCUCCUGGACACAGAAGUAUGCCAUGGGUGGAUGUAUAGGCAAGCAAUGUCGAGAGAGGUCAUUUGAACCUUCAUUUGUAAAUAUGACUGCUGGUGCUGCUGAUGAUAUCCAUAUCGACAUGCCCACGCUGUCUGACGAGGAUAAAGAUAAGUCUGCUCUGCACAAGUGCAACAUGGCUGGAAACCUUGGUGUUGAGACUCUCCGUGGGUUGUAUCCAGUUGAGUCUAUUUCAACGGCUGAGAAGGUCUUCAACCAGGAUUUCUACUUCAAGCGAACCAUGAAAUACGUGGGAGAACCCAUGAUCCACAUGGAGUCUAUUGCUUCCUCUCCGGCUGAAUCUACUAGCACUAGAAAUGAAUCAGUGUUGAAGGUUUCUCUUGACCACGGCAAAGCAUCCGGUGUGAUCGAGUCGCAUGGUUUACCUUAG